RNAcentral lists this ribosomal RNA (1080 nucleotides) under Pinus taeda (loblolly pine). RNAcentral's name for it is "bacterial SSU rRNA". It matches the Rfam family "Bacterial small subunit ribosomal RNA", at positions 35 to 1156 of the family's 1533-position model. The record is from RNAcentral. Lineage: Eukaryota; Viridiplantae; Streptophyta; Pinopsida; Pinales; Pinaceae.
GCUGUGGCGGGCAGCUUGAACACAUGCAAGUCGGAUGGGAAGUGGUGUUUCUAGUGGCGAACAGGUGAGUAACGCGUAAGAACCUACCCUUGGGAGGGGAACAACGGCAGGAAACAACUGUGAAUACCCCAUAGGCUGAGGAGAAAAAGGGGGGAUCCGCCCAAGGAGGGGCUCGCGCCUCAUUAGUUAUUUGGUGAGGCAAUAGCUUACCAAGGUGAUGAUCAAUAGCUGGUCUGAGAGGAUGAUCAACCACACUGGGAUUGAGACACAAUCCAUACUCCUAUGGGAGGCAACAGUGGGGAAUUUUCUGCAAUGGGCGAAAGCCUGAUGGAGCAAUGGCGCAUGAAGGCAGAAGGCCCACAGGUCAUGAAAUUCUUCUCUCGGAGAAGAGAAAAUGAUGAUAUCUGAGGAAUAAGCAUCGACUAACUCUGUGCCAGCAGCCGUGGUAAGACAGAGGAUGCAAGUGUUAUCCGGAAUGAUUGGGCAAAGCGUCUAUAGGUGGCUUUUCAAGUCCGCCAUCAAAUCCCCGGGCUCAACCAUUGAGAGGUAGUGGAAACUACCAAGCUGGAGUACUCGGUAGGGCAGAGGGAAUUUUCAGGUGGAGGAUGUGAAAUGCGUUCGAGAUCGGAAUAGAACACCCGACGGCGAAAGACACUCUUUGCUGGGCCGACACUGACAUGAGAAGACGAAAGCUAGGGAAGCAAUGGGAUUGAUAAACCCUAGUAGUCAGCCGUAACACGAUGGAACUCACUAAGUACGCCUGUGAUACUCGACCCGCGCAGUGCGAGCUAACGCGUUAAGUAUGCCUGGGGAGUACGUUUCGCAAGAAUGAAACUUCAAAGAAUUGACGGGGGCCGUAAAGCGUGGAGCUGUCGGUCAUUCACUUGCAACAGCGAAGAACACUUACCAGGACUUGAAAUCGUGAUCCUCCCGAAAGAGAGGAGCGCCUUUGGGAACACAGACACAGGUGGUGCAUGGCUGUUGUCAGCUCGUGCUGUAAGGUGUUGGAGUCCCGCAAUGAGCGCAACCCUCGUGUUUAGUUACCAGCAUUUAGUUUGGAACCUUGAAUAGACUUCCGGU